Molecule: long non-coding RNA, 765 nt
Filed under: Danio rerio (zebrafish)
Lineage: Eukaryota; Metazoa; Chordata; Actinopteri; Cypriniformes; Danionidae
Description: lncRNA si:ch1073-210e22.1 (ENSDARG00000102240.2)
Source: RNAcentral
AAAGAAGAAGAAGAAGAAUGACGUUGAAUGCUGAAGAAAUGAAGAGGCUGCACUCCAGUUUCUAUAGAGAGUGGUCACAUCACUGGCUGUUUGUGCUUUUUCAGAUGUAAACAGACCUGAUGGAGGACACACACCGUCAUGAGAAAAUGAGUAAAAAAACUGACUCACUGAAGAGAAAAGACAAAGAACGUGUCACCUGCACUCAGUGUGGAAUAAGUCUGGCAAACAAACCCAAUCUCCGGCGUCACAUGAAGGUCCACACUGGAGAGAAACCAUUCACAUGCACACAGUGUGGGAAGAGUUUCAGUCAAUCAUCAAACCUUAAAAAACACAUGAGGAUCCACACUGGAGAGAAAACGCACAGAUGCGAUCAGUGUGGGAAAACAUUUUUGAUGGCUUCAUACCUGAAGAAACACCUUCAAAUUCAUACAGACGAGAAGCCUUAUGCAUGCUCUGUGUGUGGAAAGACUUUGAGACAUCAACGUAGUUUAAGAGAUCAUCAGAAGAUCCACACCGGUGUGGGAGAGUACAUGUGCUUUAAGUGUGAGAAGACUUUUUAUAGGGCUGAACAUUUGAAAAUACAUGAGAGGAUUCACACUGGAGAGAAACCGUACAUUUGUUCACACUGCGACACAAGAUUCAGAUAUUUAAGACAUCUGAAAACACAUGAGAAGAUUCACACGGGAGAGAAACCUUACAUGUGUUCACACUGCGAUUCAGACAGUUAAAAGGACUGAAAAUACACGAGGGGAUUCACACCAGAGA